CAUAAUUUCUUUUACAAGCAGUCUUGCAUUUUUAAUUAAAAGAAUUUAAACUAGUAUUAAGCAUGUGUGGAAUUCAGUCUUACUGAUAAUUAUUAAUUUUAGAAUAUCAUGCGUAGAAUAGAGAUCCUUUCUGUAGCCACCGCUGUUGUGCACUUUAGAAAUUAAACUCCCAAGUUGCUCUGGGUGCCACGGCACAAGGGAACUUUGUUGUAGCUAAAAAAAAAUAAAUCAGGAUUGAUUCUUAGACUACACCUUGUAAUGUCACUGCAUUCACUUGGUAUCCCUGAACUUUUCAGCAGGUGGCUGUGCCACAGAUCUGGUCAUUUAUUAAUGCAGUUGUAUAUUGAGUGCCUGCUGGUGACAGGUUCUGUGCUUGGGAUACGUCAUUCAUCAAAACAGGUGGAGGUCUCUGUCUUGAAGUAUUCACGCUGGGGAAUAGAGAAUAAACAAUUCAUUAAAAAACAAGUAAAUUAUAACCUAUUUUAAGUACCUUUUAAAGAAAGAAAACGUGGGCGUAGCAAAGACAGAAGAGGAGCUGUACGGUUUGCUCACCUUUGCUCAGGAUAAGUCUCGAGCAGAGACUUGUGGCGAAGUGAGGGAGUCAACUGAAUGGGUAUGUAGAGAAGGGCACAGGCAGAGGGCACAGUCAGGGGAGCCGUACUGAGGCAGGAGCACAGAGAGUGCUAGGUGAGUCAGAGGUCAUGGUGGGAGAGGACGAGCUAGAUCACAGAGGCCUUGAGAGCCAUUGUAGGGACUCGGCGUUUACUGUGAGUGAAAGGCAGAGACCCUGCAGGGUUUGAGGUAUAACUUAAGUUUUAAAGGGUCACUGACUGCUGGUUGAGACCUAGACAGGGACAGGGAGGAAGGGUAGAAGCAAGCAGACCUGUGAGGAGGCCAUUGAGAAAUUGAGGCAGGAGGUGAUGGUGACUCCCCUCAUUAGAGAUGUGAGAACUGGUGUGAUUCUAGAUACAUUGUCGAGUCAGAGGCUGUCCAUUGUCAUGUGCAUCAUGUAUAUAUCACACUACAGUAAGGGAAAAAAACCUAACAAACAACGACACGAUGCUUUCUUGUCACUUAGAAUUUUUAUUUUGUAUUUAUUGAAUUAUCUCUUAGCGUAUUUAAAUAGAGGCUUUUAAUCCAUAUCACUCAUUGCACACUUAAAAACAAUAAGAUAUGCAAUAUAGAUUGAUUGAGGUAUUCCCCAAACUUAAUGUCAAGAGUCCAACCUUUGAAAUCACUUUUUUAGAGUUGACAUCUGGUUGUCUACAUGAUGGGGGCUUCUGGGCCAUCAAGAACAUUUCUUAAGAGCUGUCCAUUACGUCUCUGGCAUUUUCUUCUAAGCUCCUGGUGCCAUUGUGCAGGCUCUGAUGACAGCCCUUUUUAAUAUUACCAAAAGGUACUAACCAGAGGUUUUCUGACAACAGUCAGGACUCUGAUACUUCUUUCUUUGUUGGUCCAUUCAUGACUUGUUGACUAAAAUUGCAGUUAUCCAUGUUUCACCAGGAAAAACAUUGUUUUAACAAAUUCACACUCUUGUGGGCACAGCGACAGCUGCCUGACCAGACACAUGUAAGGUGCCACUGAUGAUAAGACACGUUCCAGUUUCCGAGAAGUUUUGAGAAAAGUGGCAGGAGAAUCAGAGGCAGAGAAUAGUCAUCUGACCUGUAGAUUAUUAAUAUUCCUGAAGAAAAUUUUAGGGGAGGAAAAAAAACCCAGAAAGAAAUCGAAGUUAUAAUAGAAAACAACUCUGCUAAGCCAAGGAGAAUUUGGAGUCUAAAAUCAACAUGCUCGCCAGGAAGCAUUAUUUAAUAAUAAACAGUGAUGGAACAGGUGUUUCUUUUUUUUUUAAAUUUUUUUUUUAAUGUUUUAUUUUUGAGACAGGGAGAGACAGAGCAUGAACAGGGGAGGGGCAGAGAGAGAGGGAGACACAGAAUCGGAAACAGGCUCCAGGCUCUGAGCCGUCAGCCCAGAGCCCGACGCGGGGCUCGAACUCACGGACCGCGAGAUCAUGACCUGAGCCAAAGUCGGCCGCUUAACCGACUGAGCCACCCAGGCGCCCCAAGGUGUUUCUUUUUUUGAAAAAACAUGUCAUCUUGGGGUUUUGUCUUGUGUUUGUUCCAAAGUAAGUUCCAGGUAAAGAGUUAAAUUAAAAAACAGAAAUCAAUAUGAUUGAACAAAACCCCAACUGAGAGCCAGAGGCAAGAGAAUUUUCUGAUGGAUUGGAUGUGAACGUAUGAGAAAGAGGAUAGGACUUGGAGAUUCUUGGCCCGAGGAACGGAAAGGAUGGCGAUGUCACUUACUGAUAGAGGGCUGUGUGUAAGGGAAGCAGGCUUUGAGUGGGGGUAGAUCUGGCGUUCAGUUUUGGAAAAGUGAAAUGGACUUGCCGGGUAUACAGCAUUCGAGAGCAUGAUCUGAGCUGGAGACGAAAACUUGGGAGUCUUUGGCAUUUCAGUAUGUAAAUUUAAAGUCACGAGACUGUGACGUCAACAAGGGAGUGUGUGUAGGCAGAGAAGAAGGGGCAUGCAUGUUUGGGAGAAGAGAUGGGAGCAGCAAAGGGAGAUUGAGACGGAGCAAUGGGUGAGGUAGGAGGAAGACUUAAAGCGAGUGUGUCCACAAAGCCACGUGAAGAAAAACCUCUCUAGAAGGAAGGAGUUAGCAGCUGUGUCAGAUGUCCGUGUGAUAGAUCCCAUAAGCUAAGGACUGAGAAUUGACCGGCGGAUUUAAGCAGAGUGGAGGUCGCUGGUGACUUUGACGAAGUUUCAGCCGACUGAGUGACGGGGAAAUCCUCAUUGGAAAGGGUUUAAGAGAGAAUAGGAGGAGGGGAAUCACCGAGUACGGACAACCUGGUGGAGAAUUUGACUGCACUAGGGAGGAAACAAGUGGGCUGUCGUGGCUGGUGGCAGAAGUGGGAGCAGUGAAAGAUUUUUUGAUUUACUAGGAUGUUUAUUUGCUGGUGAGAAUGAUUCAGGAACAGCCAAACAAGUUAACAUAAAGGGAGAGGUACACCGUGAGUGGACAAGUUGGGGAUCACAUGACUCGUGGAGGGGAGGCUUCAGAGAAGAGCAUCUGUGGAGGGGCCUGGGGUGGGGUGCAGCUGUGGAUGCUGGCACGCAGGUCGGUGUGGCUCAGAACCAUCGCAGAGGCUUCGGGCAACACUUGAGUUUCAUCUGCAGUUGGCCAAAGGGUUUAGCUGGUUGGGUGUUUGGGGGCGUUUUUUCCUCUUUUUGUGACCCAAAGUAAGUAGAACCAACUUGUCGGAACAAGCAGAUGUUUUAUGAGCUCUUGUUCCUCACUUUCAUGAGUGGUGACAAUUUGGAAAAGACUCGCCGGUUGUAGACAUGUUGACUAUUUUUGUGUUGCCUUCUGGUUAUUUUUGUCCCAUUUUAGAAUCACUGGUUAUGUUUCUUGCCUCGUCUAUAAUUAACUGGUGGUAACUUUUUACCAACAGCGGGUAAAGUGGUAGUUAGGGUAGUGUUACAAGUUUUGUUUUGUUUUGUUUUGUUUUGUUUUGUUUCAAUAUAGUGGUUCUGAGAGCUUUUUAUUCUUAGGAUUCUGAGAUCUGCUGGGACUUCCACAUGCAGCACAGCAUUCCAUUCCACUCCUUGAAAAGGAAAGGAAAAGUGAAUCUUUCCCCUAAGGGCCCCACCAAAGAAGUGUUUCUGUGUUCUCUACCUGUGAUCUCUCACUGGCCAGCUGUAGCAUUAAAUCCUGGUAGAGAGUGUAUUUACAGGAAAAAAAAGUUGAGACUAUAUGCCAUUUAUCACGGAACCUAGGGUGUUUACAUGGCUCUGAAAACCCUACAUUACAUCUUUUCCAGAAUAAUCUUUCUUCCCCAGCUCACCUCCCCAGUUGGAGAAAUAUCCAUCUAUAAACUAAUUCACUUUGGGAUUACAUAAAUUCUUUCUUUUUUGUUAUAGAAGCUGUCCUCAUUUAAAAUGAUGCUAUUUUCCAGCUCUUUAGGCUGAUUUGAAAUCUACUUUUUAUAGAUAACAUUAUUCUUUUCAUUUCUUUUCAUUUCAUUUCUUUUCAUUAGAAAACAUCUUUAGAACGAGAUUAUGCUACUGAAUUUGAUUUUGUGUGUGUAUUUAGUUUUUGAAUAUUAUUUUUAAUAUCUUUAAUAGGUUAAUAGAAAUUAUGAGAUCUAUGUUUCUCUUCAUAGAGACUUAUUUUCAUUUUUGUCUGAUUCUACAUGAGAAGGGGUGAUCUUUUUUUUUUUUUAAUUUAUUAAGUUUCCUAGAAAACAUUGUUUUACAUAAAUCCACAACCUAGAUUCAUGCCGUAUCACGGAAGAACCUUGAAAGCAUUUUGCUAAAUGAGCGAAGACGGUCACAAAAGACCACAUAUUGUAUGAAUCCUGUUUGUGUGAAACGUCCAGAAUGGGCAGCUGCAUAGGGUCAGAAAGUAGACGAGUGGCGGUCAGGGGUUACAGGAUGGGGAGCAGGAGGUGACUGCUAGUGAUAAAAAUGUCAUAAAAUUAAGUAGUGAUGAUGGUUGCACAGCUCAGUGACCAUACUGAAAACUGUUGUGUUGCUAUAUUCUGUUUCUAGAAACCUGUAGUCCAGCAAGUUAGUCUAUUAGAUUUUUUUUUUUUUAUAAUGUAUAGUUUAGCCACUUAAGCCAUUCCUUUCUCCUCAAUUCUUCAGGUUUGAAGUUGAGUAAGUGGUAUAAAAAAUACUGUUACUUUUCAUUGAAUCCAACUGACUUUACCACUUCUAGUUUUUUAUCACGUCCUGAUUACAGAAGUAAUACACAGUGUUAAGUAUUUGAAUAAUAAAUGUUUGUAAAUACAGAAAGGUACAAAAGAGAAGUUUCUCGAAAUUCCUGCCUGUUUAGACAUGAUGGCUGCAUUGAAUAUAUAUCCUUCCAGGUCUGUUUCUGAAUUUAGGUUAGCCAGUAUGUCCAUUAUUUAAAUGUUUACAGCAGAGGUGAGGUCAUAGUUUAUGUACUAGUCUCUAGCUUGCUUUUCUGCAUUUAGGAAUAUAACAUCUUUCUGUGUCAGCAUACAAAUUUUUUACUCUUGUUUUUUGCUUGCUUUUGAUAUCUUAUUGUAUGAUGCGCUACCACAAUUUCUGAGAUGCACAUAUUUUCAUAUUUUGACACUUAUUUUUUUAAGUUUGUUUCUUUUUGAGAGGGAGAAUGAGUGGGGGAGGGGCAGAGAGAGAGAAUCCCAAGUAGGCUCCACACGUCAACGCAGAGUCCAGUGUGGGGCUCGAGCUCACGAACCUGUGAGAUCAUGACCUGAGCCGAAGUCAGAUGCUUAACUGACUGAGCCACCCAGGCACCCUUCUGUUUUGACUUUUAUAAAAUGUGGGUGCAUCUUAGAAUCUGUGGCCUGCCACAUUUAAUUGGAAGUAUUUUUUCUUAGACGUAAAAUGAUGGUAUGUCUUACAAUUAUUGGAGUCUGAGUUUCGAUGAAUGUGGUAUGUAAUACCACUUGUGAAUGGACAUUCUUUUUAAUAUUUUUCCAUUAAAAUAAUGCGUCAGGGCAUUAUGUUUGUUUCUCUGUAGGAUUUAAUUCUUACAAGUGAAAUUGCUCUGUCAGUUUUAAUAGAUUUUGCCAAAUUUCUUUCUUAAAAGAUGAUAUCCAUUUACAUUGCUGUGCACAGUGGAUGAGAGGGUUUACUGUCUCAACCUUCAUCAACAUUGGGUAUUCUUAGCUUUUAAAAUCUUAAUCUAAUGUGCAAAAAAUUCUUCUUGUUUUAAUUUGUAUCUUAGGAAGGCCAGUGAGGUUAAGUGUCUCUUCAUAUUUUCAUUGUUAUUUUACAUUUCUUCUGCAAAUUGCGCGUAUAGCUGUCACCACUUUAAAAACAAUUGAGUUGGCCUUUUAAUCUUUGUCCUGUAUCUUGAGAAUAUUGUUUACAUUGGGAAUGUUGAUUCUUACAUGUGUAGCAGAUUUUUUUCCCCAUAAAGUCUAUUGUCUUGACGUUUAUGGCAUGUUUUGUCAUAGGGAAGUCUUAAUCUGUGUUAUGGCACAGUUUUAUCAGAGUGUUUCUGAAUGUUGAUUUUCUUUUCUAGUGUUGAUAUGAUUAUUUUCCCGAGUUCGCCAGGAAAAUUUAGAUUAGCACACCCUUUUUAAAGCGUCUCUGGGCAGUGCUGAAUGUCAGAAUCACAUUCUGCUUGACAAAUGGGAUUGCCUUUCACUCUGUUGUUGCCUGUAUGAACAGUCUUUGGCUUUAUAUACUUUUGUUUUAAGGUAUGUCAAAGUUUGGUUCUGGAGUUCAGUGGAAAGAAUCGUGUGCCAAAAGUGGAGAGGCUUGCGUCCCUUCUUUUAUGUGUCUCAUUCAGAGAUGUGUGCUGCCACUCCCUGGGUCUCAGUUUUCUGGGGGGUGAAAUGAGAGGGCUGGAACAAGUAUCUCCCUUAUCUCUGGCUUAAAAUUGUAAACACUUGCUAGUUUGGUUGAUCUGGAAUGCGGGCAUUUGCGUACAUCGCAUCACCAUUUAUUUCCUGAAUCCAGUGCAAUUCUGUUACUCAGUAUUUUGACACAGUAUUCCAUUUGUUUCUGAUUUUGGUUGCUUGAUCAUCGAUGAGUUGUUGUUAAAUACAUCCUCUCAGCUUUUUGCUGUGAAAUAUAUCUAAGCAUCUCAUAUUUACGUCCAAUUAUCCGCUCUUAAAUCUUUACCCAAUUUUGUAGUGAAAAUAUUUGUGAUAACCAUUAAAGCAAAGAAAUGAGGCAUAAAUACAGAGAAUAAAGAUGAAGUAAGCCUUGGAGUUAAAACUAAAGUAAAACUAAACGUGGAUUUGUUGUCAGAUUAAUCUGUGUUCCAGUCCCUCCUGUGUCGUGAUGCAUACCAUGAGCAAGUUAAUUUACCCCAAACCUCACUUUCUUUAUCUUUGUAAUGCAAAUAAUAAUGAUUUCACAGGAUUAUUAUUGCGCUUAAACCCUGCUAUUUAGUAGACAUUCAGUAAUUCAUCCGCCCUUUAGGUAUAACAACUAGUGAUAGACCCAAAAGGAUUCCUGUAUUUUUUGCAUACUCGAAGCUAUUAAACUUGAUUGUUUAGCUUCAGAAUCUUGGAAUAGAUCUAAAUGCAUUUCUCUGUGAAUUUGAUUAUUGAAAUCCCUUUCCGCUCUCGAAACGUGUGCAUUUGAGUCUUUUAUUUUUAUACACAGACCCCACUCUUAAUGGCACUGUGUGUUUUACUUAUAAUUAAGUUCUUACCACCGUCCCUUUAUAAUGGCAUGCCAAAUGCACAGAGAAAUGAAAUCAGUAAACUUAAAGUGGCGCCUGCCCAGAUAGAGUUGUACUAUAACUAGUCUUCUCAUGAAGUCUCUAGAAAAUGCAUCAGACAUAUCAUAUAUGAAAGCAUAAAUCUGAAUUAAUGUGUUUACACUUGAAUUAACGUGUAACUAGUAUGUGACAUGUUCUUAAGAGCAAGACUUAUGUUUUUG
This is a long non-coding RNA of Acinonyx jubatus (cheetah), 7388 nucleotides long. RefSeq lists it as uncharacterized. The record is from RefSeq and is a predicted model, not a curated record. NCBI's taxonomy places the organism in Eukaryota, Metazoa, Chordata, Mammalia, Carnivora, Felidae. The transcript is spliced from 2 exons.